This is a long non-coding RNA of Hyaena hyaena (striped hyena), 1071 nucleotides long. RefSeq lists it as uncharacterized. Lineage: Eukaryota; Metazoa; Chordata; Mammalia; Carnivora; Hyaenidae. The transcript is spliced from 4 exons. The record is from RefSeq and is a predicted model, not a curated record.
GUGGCCGUGCAAGGUGGCUGCCGAGGUGCCCAGGUCUGUGUUCCACCACCAUCGCAUGGCUGGAGAGCUCCCGGCUGCAGGAUAUAUGGGUGGCAAAUAAUCAGCUGACAAGAUGUUCAACAUCGUUCACCACUGGGAAAAUGCAAAUUAAAGCCACAUCAGACCCUACUUCUCACCAGUUAGAAGGGCUCCCUCAGAAAGACUCCCGGCAGAGGAGCCCAAAGCCCCAUGUGCUACCAUGGAAAGUCAUCAGGGAAUUUAAAGGGAUUCCACUGUGGCAGCCAAAGACGACCUGAAGUCCCCCUUGCACAGGUAGGCUGUGAGCUUGCUGGGUUGUUUCCUCUGAAUGAAAACAGCUACUUGCUCUUAAGCCCAAUUCCUUUGGGAAAAUGAUUGGUGUGUGAUGGGAUAUUGUUAAAUAAUGUGACAACACAAUAGAAAAGAACACUGUUUCACUUACUAGUAACGUGUAAGCUGUUCAGGUACCGUUUGCACUGUAAUGUGCGUGGGGAAAUGUAGUAAUUCUUCCCUCCCUCUGGACAACUCACACCGCAGCUAGUAGGCCGACAGCAGCGCUCAUUUACUCUGUGCGGCGAUCGGAGAACAUGUGGGAAGCAGAGUCCGAGCCUCCUUUCUCUGACCUCUGAUAACAUCUGGUUUCCCAUCGCUCCUGAGCCACACCCGCUCCUUCCGAGUCUGUGCAGAGUCAUGUAGAAGGCAGCCCUGCCCUGGGACACGCACACACGCAUGCAAAGUGCACCCCUGCAAAGUCACAGGAGCAGAAAGUGGCCCAUUGUGAAGGUCAUGAGCCAGGGCGAGCACACGUUUUAAAAUGUGCACUUGGUCUCCACUUUGCGCACUUUGGUACCACUGGGAGAAGUCAUCUCGGAACACGCAGAAACAAGAAAUGGGCUCACGUUCGGGGUGAAGUCCAAGGAGCUCCCACUGCCUGAUGAACACUCGUACCCGCCCUCCCGCACCGUGUUUGGGGAGAACCCAUGGGUGAUGGUAAGAGGGACAGCGGUGCAGCAGCCGCAAACACGCGGGAUCUGGUGUCACGUCUAAGCCCUC